UUCAGGUGUGGGUGCAGCUUGAUGCUUGGCCAUGUCUCCGUUUCCACCUACAACUGUAGGGUACGUGAGGGCGAUCGAUCGAUCUCCUUUCCUUCGAUCACUGGAGCUUCAGACUCGGUGGAACGGUCAAGCCGCUUGAUUGACCGCCAAGGCAGGAGCAGCAGCAUUAUUCUUUUUCCGACUAGUAAAUCUCGGCCACUGAGGCCAGGUGCUAGUGGGACUGGGCUUGGACAUGUCUUGUUUUGCAUAUUGGAUGUUUGUAUUCUUCUCAUUGUUGCGUUUCUCUGAAUUUUUGCUCUGUCCAUUCAUGUGUUCCCACUGAAUCUGUAUAUUUCUCUGAACUCAGUGAUAUAUCAAGUGUGAAAUUUAUUCUUACUAGUUCCUGGCCUUCAUUUUUGCCAUUUCUACGCAUGGUGUCUGCAGGAAAGGAUCCGAUGUUUGCGUUGGGCCGUCAACAGAGAUUGGAGCUAUAGAAUUGGCCCUUAUGAAUUGUUCAGGCAGAUCAACAAAUACAUAUUUUUUCGGACGACCAUAUCUACCCGAUUUGACUCGCUUGAGGAGGCAUACGAGUUCUAUAACAUGUACUCAUGGGAAUUGCUUUCGGGCAUUUUUGGUACAUGACCAGUUAGAUGAACGGCGAUCAGUACUGGUCAUCUCAGGAUCUAGGGUGCCAGAUGGAGGUAUAGAUCGACAUGAAUUUUACUUUUGUUGUUCUGAAUUCUCGAUUGGUUUGCUGCACACGCAUGAUACCAUAUCAUUUUUGUUCUUCAGGGUGUUGACUUGAGGUGCUAGAAUGACUCUAUGAGAUUUGGUUUCAAAGGCAGUGAUCCAGCUUCACAAGUCCGACGACCAUGGUUGCUUUGUGGCGCCGCCGUGUUCCCCGACAUCUCCAUGCCGCUGCCCCUAUCUCCCAGCUCGCAACGGCGGGGCUCAUCAGAUACUACCGAGUAUCUCAUCAAGUUCAAAUAAUUUGAACAUGCAAACAUGUUGUGUUCAAGAAGGUCAAGUGUGUUAUGUGCAUCACCUCGCCCCCACUAAAUCUUCUGCAUUUUUGUGUAUUCUUCAAAAGUUCAGGUCAUCAUGAGUUGCUUCGAUUGAGCUACUGCUAUGAAAAAGUUCACCUCAGAGGCAGUUCUAUGCGUGCAAACCGGAAGGACGACGAACCACGCCUGGUGUCGCUGCCAUCUUGGACAGAUGGAGGAAGAAGGUCACCAUAGAGCUAGGGAGAAGGUCACAUAAGGUGCAGGAAGAUUGUCAGAGUGCAGGAACGGCUGUGUGAUCUUUGUGCUGUUUUGGGGUGCAAAUUAACAUGGGUAUGCGAUCUCACAUCCUGUGUAUUCUUGAGAUGGCCUACCUUAGCCUCAAAACCAUAUGGCCUAUAUACAUGUACAGAACCUACAACAACUUUAUGGGGAGUUGAUGGAUUAUUCAAUGGUUGUUGCUGCCACUAUUGAUUUUUUUUCUUGAGAUGGUCUUCAUCACCGUUCAAAAUAAUACAAAUGCUUCUUG
This 1509-nucleotide long non-coding RNA is filed under the name Triticum aestivum (bread wheat). RNAcentral's name for it is "long non-coding RNA (TAES_LNC027913)". The record is from RNAcentral. Lineage: Eukaryota; Viridiplantae; Streptophyta; Magnoliopsida; Poales; Poaceae.